Molecule: small RNA, 376 nt
Filed under: Histoplasma capsulatum var. duboisii H88
Lineage: Eukaryota; Fungi; Ascomycota; Eurotiomycetes; Onygenales; Ajellomycetaceae
Description: Histoplasma capsulatum H88 hypothetical RNA
Source: RNAcentral
CUCCCUUGAUCGCCCCUGACUCAAAAUCUCUCAAAAUCUCCCCCCUCAAAUCCCCAAUCUCCUAUCCAGAUGGCCCUCCUGUCUCACGCGAACAACUUCAAGCCGUGGGCGCCGCGGCGUCCGCGGCACACCAAGCCAUUCUCACACUCUAGAGACCAGAAGCCCCCCUCCCCCAGCCUCACAUUGUGACGCCUCUGCCAAUGCUCUGCUACCCUGCAAGCAUGGCCUUCCUCUCAAGCCGCCGGCCGAAGUCUGCGUGCCCAUCAGCAGCAAUGUUCACCAUUGAACUCCCCCUCUCAAUCAAGAAAGAUAUCUAUAUCAUCACCGAGUUCAAAGAACCCUCAGCAUGAUGUAUCAUCUCUCCAUGAACCUGCAA